GAGAGAGGGAGACACAGAAUCUGAAACAGGCUCCGGGCUCUGAGCUGUCAGCACAGGGGCCCGAUGCGGGGCUCGAACUCACAGACCGCGAGAUCGUGACCUGAGCCGAAGUCGGCGCUCAACCGACUGAGCCACCCAGGCGCCCCGCUCUGUUUCUCUUUAAAUAAACAUUAAAAAGAAUUUAAAGAACCCUCCUGACAGCGCAAGACCAUUUGCAGUGUGCACUCUUGCAAAAGUACGUUCACCUAGUCUGAUCAAGAAAGAAACAUCAAAUACCCCCCACUGAGGGACAUUCAAGGACACAUCUGACCAGUAAUCCUCCCAAUUGUGAAGGUCAUCAGAAACAAGGAAAGCUUGAGAACCUGUCAUAGCCAAAAGAAGCAUAAGUGGACGUGGAUACGAAAUGCAGUGUGGUUAUCUUGGGUGGGAUCCUGGUACAGAAGAAAGACACUGGGGAACAACUGAGAAAAGAAUGUAUCCAUAUUGGUUCAUUGGCUGUGACAAAUGUACCAUACUUACGUAAUAGGAUAACAAUAGGGAAACCUGGGUGUGGUGUAGAUGGGAAUUCUCUAUAAUAUUACUGUGCUAGUUACAAUAGUUCUGUAAAUCUAAAACUGCUCUAAGAUAAACAGAGUUUAUUAAAGCAGGGCAGGGAGCGGGUGGAGGGGGGUGGGGGUGCUUCCUGGCUGUUAUAAUGCAAACCAUUCCUGAUGGCAGAGUUGUUGUCUCUGAAAAGCACCAAGGAAAAAGAAAUAAUUUUUAGUUGAAUGAAUCCCUGUUCUUAAUAAAUUACGUGACAGAUCUUUGCUUCCUUUUAUUUAUAGUUUUGUGACUUUCAAAUGAUUUUUAGAGCUGCACUUUAAAUAUAUAUGUAUAUACAUAUAUAAAAAUAAACACACACACAACAGCAUAUUUACAGCUAAAAGACAAGGUAACUGGUUCCUCUUACUUUAUUAUACUGGAGCCAUGCAAUGGGAAUACAAUCCUAGAUAAGAAAGUCACCUGUUGUAAUGACUUACAAUUCUUAAUGGAAAAUUUUCGACAUUUUGGAUAUAGUUACCUGGACACCAUUUCAAUGGUUCUCUCUCCCUCUUCCUGGUUUUUUUUUUUGUUGUUUGUUUGUUUUGUUUUGUUUUUUGUUUUUUCUGUUCUAACAGAAUCUGCUCAAGGUGGUCUGGAUAAAGCAGAGUGCCCCAGGCAAUAUUUUGCUGCUGGUUUGUAGUUAUGGAUUACCUUAUAUCAUUGGCUUCAAGAGUGAACUGACUGGGGCACCUGGGCGGCUCACCUCGGGUUAUGAUCUCAUGGUUCCUGAGAUGGGACCCCCGUGUUGGGAUCUGUGCUGACAGGUCGUGAUCUUAUGGGUCAUGGGUUCGAACCCCGUGCUUGGCUCUGUGCUGACAGUGUAGAGCCUGCUUGGGAUCCUCUCUCUCCCUUUGCCUCUGUCCCCUCCUGCUCACACUGCGCUCUCUCUCUCUCUCUCUGGGUCUCUUUAAAUAAAUUGAUUAACAUUAAAAAAAGAACCUUAUCAAAAUCCCCAUAUUCACUUGAGUUUUCUGUGGGCUCACAGUGUGUGUGUAUGUGUGUGUGUGCAGGUGCGUGCUGGGGGAACAACCUGACUGACCACUCUCUGGUUAGGUAAGUAUAUUAACUUUAAUUACCUAAUAUUGAUGUUAUUUCCCUAACUUGCCUUUAGGUCUUCUCAGCCUUUAUUAUCAACUCUUCAUGGUCCCGACUGUAGCACCUGGCAAGGUGCUUUCACACCUGGAAAUGAAACCAUAAUAAUUCAAGGGCAACCUAAACGCCCCAUAUGCAGGCACCAUUUAUCUUUCGGUGUCAGGUUUGGACCAUUUAUCUUUUCUUAUCAAGUGGCUUAACUAUACAUUUGGGGAAGUUAAGUGAGGAAAUGAGAAGCACUCUUCGAGACUGGCAGUGGUCUAAAUAAUAGCUUUAAAGUGAAAGUUCAGCCACCUGGUUCAUCUUCCAACCGGGCAGGGGCUCCUAGGGAAUAAGAGGGCAAAGUUAAAUGUGAAACUCAAAAUCUGAGGCAAAGGACUCUCAUCACCUGGACUUUCCUUCUCCCUAAAUGGGGCAGCAGUACUGGAAAUAGUGGUAAUUAAACUUUAGAGAGCUUUUCUGGGGUGCUAGGCACCAUUGUAAUGAACUCAUUUCAUCCUCACAGAGGCACAGGGAAGGGAACCACGUUGCCAACAUUCACACAGCUGGGAGUAAAGCCAGGAUUCUAAUCUGGGUGAUCUGGCAUCAAAGCCCAUGUUCUCAACAGGCUCUCCUGCCUCUCUUGGGGAGGACACCACGAGGGGUCCCACUCUUGACUAGACUCGCUAGAGGGCCUCCUCCAGGAUCUGGACUGGAACAUCCCAGGGACCUCCACAACCGCCUAAGGCCUAGGAAAGAGAAUGUCUCAUCAGUGAGCUGUAUACUUCUGUCCAUUCUGGUUCCUCCACAACUGUCACCGUCACCACCAGCAACUAGUAAAUAUUGAUCGAGCUUCUCUUCUAUGCCAGGUACUAUGGAUACCAAAAUGAAAAGGAGACUGUGAUCCUGCCCUCAAUAGACACCUAAGCAAACAAGCCAACAAGAUCGCAAACAGCCUCUGGUAACGUCCAAAAGAAAGCCGUGGGAGUCCAGAUGGGCGGGGUCCCACCUUGCCUGGAUUCGCAGUGCCAUGAUUUCCUUCCUCUCUCACUGAGUUUCUGUUACUUCCUUGACUUCUUCUACUUACAACUCACAAGCCCAAAUGGCACAGAUUUGAAGUUCUCUCUACCAGGUGUUGAGCUGUUCAGGAGGAAGAUGUUCUGUUCAUUUAAUAAAUAGCUUCUGGAUGAAUAGAGGCUCCGACUCAGCAUAUGUUUAUCUGCUCACCGCCCCCCCGUCCCAGGAAACAGAGAACAUUUAUAUCUGAGUUCCUCCUUAUCCGAGGUUCGCUUUCCAGGGUUUCAGGUGCCUGCAGUCAACUGUGGUCUGGAAACAGAUGAUCCUCCUGACGUAUGAUCAGAAGGUCUCUACUAGUCAAUACGACGUCACAGUGCCCACGUCAUUCACCUCAUCUCAUCUCAUCAUACAGGCAUUUUAUCAUCUCACAUCAUCAGUGAGGAAGAAGGGAGAAACAGAGAGACAGAGAGAGAGACAGGGCACCAGUAGGGGAGGGACAGAGAGAGAAGGAGACACAGAAUCCGAAGCAGGCUCCAGGCUCUGAGCUGUCAGCACAGAGCCCGACGCAGGACCUGAACUCAUGAACCUCGAGAUCAUGACCUGAGCUGAAGUCGGAGCCGAACGUGCCACCCAGGUGCCUCUGUCGGUGUUUGUUGUUAAUCUCUUCUGGUGCCUAAUUUAUAAAUUAAACUUUGUCAUAGGUAUGUGUAUAGAGGAAAAACAUCAUUAUGUGUGGGCUUCAGUCCUCUCAGUGGUUUCAGGCAUCCACUAGGGGAUCUUGGAAUGGAUCCUCAGUGGACAAGGGGGACGACUGUACUCUCCCUUCUUCCAGGACAGGCACCUUUUCUGUUCCACGUGCAAGCUAUGCUAGCAGCCUGGCCCACUCUUUGUAUCCCUAUCUACCACAAUAACAAACAGUGUUGCUGAGGCAUUGUUGUUGAUGUGUUGCCUUUAAAAAACACCCUCUUGUCAUGGGAUAAGCCUCUUCCUGACGAUGGACCAUCCUUAUCUGGCCUGCCAAGCAGCCCUGUUGCCAUGGAGGGCCGAUGGGAUGAGGUGUGUUUUUCGCCUGCAUCACUCCCACCGGGGUGUAACAAGGACUUUAGUGCACGUCAUGCGUGGCUGGCCUGUGGCAGCCCGAGGCCAGGCUCUUCCUGUAGGUAAAACCCAAUCAACUGAUCAGCUGCAGAUAAUAUCAAGACCUCUGUUUGAUACGUUAACAGUGACAGACAUGCUUCCACAAUUCACAGCCCAGUACCCUUUGGCAACAGAGUCGUUGUGGGUGAAGAAAACACUCUAGUCACCAGCUUUGGGAUGAGAGGGCUCGGGUUCAUAUAAACACAACCUCACGUCAACCCUCGUCACCACAGACUGUUUUGGGUCUUUGCACUCACCCUCUGAUCUUGAUUUCCUACAUGACAAUGUUCUCGGUUUAUAUGCCCUUUGGCAAGUGCAGCAAGCCUGUUUCCUGUUUCUAAACUUGUAGACAGCCAUUCAUGUGUCUCGCACUUGUCAAUUUUAACCAGAAAACACCGGCCCCUUCUUGUCGCAUUUUUACCUUUAGCCCAGGUUAAGAGGACCAUAGGAGUAAAGCUGUUGAUUCAUUCGAUAGAAAAUUCUUAAUUAAUUUAAAUUAACUUCCAUAGGACUUGCAAUUGCAAGAAGGAAGUAAGGGGAAAUACACGCCUCCUUUCCUAAAGCCUAAAAAAAUAAGUGGUGACAAGGCUAACGAUUUGAAAGCAUUGAAACAAUACACGAUUUAGUUUUUUUCUUCUGUUUGUCAAGAGUGAAGGAAAGAAGAAAUGGUCGAUGUACUUGUAACUGGCAGAUGACCACCAAAAUAAGAAAACUCUCAAUACAGCAAGUAGGUCAUUCGUCAGAAUCAACAGGACCCGUGCACGCUUUGUAGGUCCAACACAUUUUAAUUACCCUAACGAUUUGUGUAUACCCUUACAAUAAAGUUGAUUAACCUC
Molecule: long non-coding RNA, 4643 nt
Organism: Neofelis nebulosa (Clouded leopard)
Lineage: Eukaryota; Metazoa; Chordata; Mammalia; Carnivora; Felidae
Exons: 2
Source: RefSeq, a predicted model, not a curated record